CAGCCUGGGUAAGAGUGAGACCUGGUCUCAAACAUGUGUAUUUUUUUUUCAUAUGCUCUGAUGAUACUAGUGACUUGAGGACAUGUGUUUGGCCUGUCUCUGCCGUGGUUCUGCUGGAUUUGUGCUGAGUGACCUGCACGCUCUUGCCCAUAUCCUCCCAGUCAGAAGGAUGCAUUUCUAACAAGGCUGGUGGUGGCAAUCCAAUGUUCUGACUGUGGCACUGGGUGGGUCUAGGUGUCUCACUGGUGGCCCCAUCCAGGCCGCACUCUGUGGGCUCAUCAGCCAUUUUUGUACUUGUUUAAAUUGCAUAUCACAGAUGCCCAAGACAGUGGUGAAGAAUUUUUUUCCUUUCCAACUUUUUAAGAGGUUCCUGUGCAGAUGUACUACGUGGGUAAAAUGUGUGUUGCGGGGGUCUGGUGUGCAGAUUCUUUGGUCAUCCAGGAUCUUUAAUUUAAAGGAGUCGCUAGAUGUAUUCGUACCUCGAUCUCCUCAUUCAGCGUGAUGGAUUCAAUCCCUUGUAUAUCAUGCAAUUGUUUUAAAGAUUAAAUGGGUUCAUAUGUUUGAAGCACUUCGGAUGCAUCAGGCAUACGGUGCAGAGAAUGAGGAUCAGAAACACUGAAGAACUUGCCCAGAGAUCCAACCAGUGAGUAGCCAGCUUCAGACUGAUAUGACCGUCAUUGUCCCUGACCAUGACCCGUCACAUGGCCAGCUCCGGAUGGAUUGGAAGGUCUGCGGGAACGAGCUUUGGCCUAGUGCCAAGAUCAUCCGACCAGCCCUUCUCCUGCCUCCUCUUCUCCUGUUUCCUAUUUGGGAGGACAUAGACCCCAGAUGUCCCACUGCAGAGUCCCCGUGUAGGAAGGUCAACCCAGUGUGAGCUCCAGCUUCCUCCUGGAAAACUCCUACUCACUCGGCAAGCUUCAACUCAAGAGCAUGACACGUCCUGAUCCUAGCCUCGGCAGUCAGUCUCAGUUUCUCCUAGACCUGCUGUGCACCUGCUGCCACCUCCAUCUGAGCACUCAAGUGGUCAAUGCAGGGUCUCACCUGUACUGAUCUCCAUCUGUGUACUCAGCUAGUUUUCGCUUCUAUCCAAGAAUUCACAGAACUUUCUGCCAUAACUGUCCUGCCCUCCCCGACUUCCUUGUGACCUCCUCGAGGCCAACUACUCCAUCUUAUUUAUUUUUACACACUCAGCACCUGCCACUUAGAAGAUGGCCAGAAAAGGGUUUAAUGAAUGCUUGUGUCUGAUAAUCAAGUCAGAAACUUCCUUCUCUGGGACACUUCGGUGCAGCCACUUCCUAUAGUCUAAGAAUUGUGAUCACAGGGACAAGAGAUGCAUUUCGUCUUUCUAUGAAGUGCCACCAGGUCUAAAUAUUAUUUGGGUACAUUUGUACAACUCCUGUGUCUGGAAAAUGUGUGUUUAAAAAUCAAAUGGAAGACAGCCAAAUAAAGUUUGUAUUACUUCCUUUCAUCUUCACAGCAACCCUACAUAGACAUAUUGUUAUUAUCCUCAAAUAAUGGAUGAGAAAACUUGCAUACCCUGCUGAAGGUCAUUCGGGUAGGUCAGGAGAAGCACUGGGAUUAGACCCAGGCUGGUUGACCUCAGGGCCCACGCUGUCACCCAUUCUCUCAGACAAAACACCUGCUUUGCACUGGCGUACCAUACUGUUCAGCGUGCUUCCACUGCAUUUUAGAGUUGUUUUCUCUAAAAAGCAGAGCUGAUGUUAUCAUCAUCUCUAUUUUAUAGAUGAGGAAAUUAACGCAGAAAAGGCAAGUACCCAAGCUUGCAGGAUUAGCAAAUGACACUUCCAGGGUUUUUGUCUCCUAUUGUAGGGUUUUGCUUUUUAACCCACCAGGCUUAUGGAAUUUUCGUGGAACGAACUGAAAAUAAAAUGGGUCUUUAUUUCACAAAGCAGUGUUCAUUUCUCACCUUGGCAACUUAAAGAAGAUGCAUUUUUCACUGGUUACAGAUGUGUAGUAUGCCUUGAUGUGGGGACAGUGACUCUUCCAAAAUCUAAGCUUAGCAUUCAUGCUGCUGAGGACUGAGAAGCUCCUUAGUAAGUCAAGGAUCAGAACUAUUAGCAUUAUUCAUCCUCACUUCAUUAUCUUAAAUGGCUAACACUUGUUAACUAGGGCUUAUUAUGUGCCACACAGUUCUUCAUGCUUUACAAAUAUUAACAACAAAUUACAUCCACAUACUGAAGCAGGAACAACCCCUAAUGAUCUGCAUUAUACAUAUCAGGGACAGAAGGAAACAGUCAUGUGACUGCCUGAAGCCACACAGCUAAUUAACGGGGGAACUCAGAUUUUGAAGCCAGGCACUGUGGCCCCAGGGACAUGCUCUUAACCACUAUUUACUUACUUUCCCUUGGCAUAAAGAAGUGAGGUGGCAUCACCUGGCUGUGUCAGAAGAAACUGUCAAGAAAGCAUGUGAUAGUACACAAAUAAAAAUUAAGGCAUUUGAUGGUCAUGGCCAGGUGCCCUGUCUCACACCUGUAAUCUCAGCUCUUUGGGAGGCUGAGGUGGGAGGAUCACUUGAGAC
Macaca mulatta (Rhesus monkey) is the source of this 2539-nucleotide non-coding RNA. Lineage: Eukaryota; Metazoa; Chordata; Mammalia; Primates; Cercopithecidae. The record is from RefSeq and is a predicted model, not a curated record.